RNAcentral lists this ribosomal RNA (478 nucleotides) under uncultured bacterium. Its description in RNAcentral is "partial 16S ribosomal RNA". It matches the Rfam family "Bacterial small subunit ribosomal RNA", at positions 28 to 507 of the family's 1533-position model. The record is from RNAcentral.
GACGAACGCUGGCGGCGCGCUUAACACAUGCAAGUCGAACGGGAUUUAGUAAACAGAAACCUCGGUGGAAGAUUACUAAUGAGAGUGGCGAACGGGUGAGUAACGCGUGAGCAACCUGCCUAUGACAGUGGGAUAGCCUCGGGAAACCGGGAUUAAUACCGCAUAAAAUCGUAGAAACACAUGUUUUAACGGUCAAAGAUUUAUCGGUCAUAGAUGGGCUCGCGUCUGAUUAGCUAGUUGGUGAGAUAACAGCCCACCAAGGCGACGAUCAGUAGCCGGUCUGAAAGGAUGAACGGCCACAUUGGAACUGAGACACGGUCCAAACUCCUACGGGAGGCAGCAGUGGGGAAUAUUGCACAAUGGGGGAAACCCUGAUGCAGCGACGCCGCGUGAACGAAGAAGGUAUUCGUAUCGUAAAGUUCUGUCCUAUGGGAAGAUAAUGACAGUACCAUAGAAGAAAGCUCCGGCUAAAUACGUG